UCAUGGUUACCAACCGCUGCGGCUUACGCGGAUUAACUUCUGAGCGCCGAGGCCGGUCCCGUUACUUGGGUUCGCGCUGUUUGCUCACGCGAAUCACGUCACACGCGCUGAUGCAUCAGGAAGUGGCUGGAGCCCGUACCCAGUGGCAGAUGUUUCCAUCCCGGAGCUGAGGGGACAACUCUGGAGGCAGAACAUCCCAGUAAGGGAGUGACCCAGAAGGCAACGUCUCCAUCCAGCCAAGGCCUUCGCUCGUGCCUCGCACCGAAAGCGUGGCUGCAGACAGCCAUGCGUUCAGAGAGGAGGCCCCUCCGGUGGGCACGGCGCGGGACGCGGCUCGGGCUUCCUGGAGCAGGCGUGCAGAGCGGGCCUCUUCUUUCCCGGUUCCGGUCCCGGCCAGAAUGCCCUCGGGAGCACAGAGCAGCGGGAGCUCUCGGCAUUUAUUUAAAGAAGCCGGAAGGUUAAAACCACCCAGUGGUCCGCAGAGCGGAAGGACAGGCCCUUUCAAGCCGCCUAGCCCCGUGCGACCCGGGCCGUGUGGGUCUUCUAGUUCGUCGGCACACACACUCGUGCCUCCCGACUCCAGGCUACACGGCAGCGUGCUGGGCAGUGAGGCAAAACCGGGAGCCAGCAGCCCGUGGGGCCGGCUCUGUGCUCACAUCCCUCACACCCUCCGCAUACAGCUGGCGCCUCUCCCCACCGCAGGAGGCGGGCGUUGUCAUUAUCCCUCGCUUGCGGACGGGGAAACUGAAGCGUGGGGGACGGCGAGGCCCGGCAGCGUACGGGGCAGAGCUGGGGUUUGGAGCCAGGUUGUGCGGCCCCAGCGUCCAAGCUCGAGGCUGUCCGAGCUCACUUGCCUCUGCGAGACCUCGCUCCUGGGCUCUGCUCCAGACUGGCCUCCCCAGAGCCCUCUGCUCCUGCCGACAAGCAGGUUAGAAACGGACCCCGACCUCCGCCGUGGGAAGGGCCACCCCACACUCAUCACACUCAGAGCCCUGAGGUCCGACGGGUGAGGGGCUUCGUCUGCGGCCCCCCCGGCCAUGGCUCCCUGCGUCACUCCCGGCUGUGUCCCCAGAAAGCCCCCCGGAGCCACACGGAGGCAUCGCCACACACGUGCGGAAUCGGAAUCACCAAGUUGCAACAGUCCAUCCCUCAAGCGCAGCCCGGCGGGGAAGCUCUUAGCUCUUUGGUCUCUGGACGCGGGAGACUGAGAGACGAAAACCGCCAACAGGUAGGUGCCCCCCAAGGCCGUGCCGCUGCCCGUGGCCUCCCCGAGAAGGCUUUGCUCCCAGAGACCCACUGACUCUGGCCCCAAACUGCCUGAGUGGGAAGCAAGGUGGUGGAGGGGUACUGGGGCACAGCAGGGCCUGCUCCCACACGCCGGCUUCGCCCGGACAGGCUCCGAGGUGCAGGGGAAGUGUGUCCGGUGGGAGUGUCGAGUGCAGAGGUGCCCCUGGGCCGCCGUUUGCCGGCCUGGUAUCGACAGUACCUGCAGUCUGGUCCAGUGUUUUAGGAUUUGCUCUCUGACUCGCACAGCAAACCCUGCCCGUCUCUCACAGUCAUAGGAAGGUCCACGUGCCUGCCCGGCGAGAGGGAGCAGAAGCCCAAGCGGAGGGCACUGAUCUGGGGGGAGUUUGGAGCUAAGCAUACCCUUCCUCCAGCCACUGGAGUUGGGGGGGCUUCCUGGGGGGCCUUGAAGGCCACCUGUACUGAGGCAGGGGCUGCCCAAGAGCCCGCAUCCUGUCCAGGAAGAGCAACCCCCUCCCACCCCAGAGCAGCCUGCAGCCAACUGUGAACUAGAAUCAGGGGCUAAAUACCUCCUUGCCCAGUGGAUGGGGUGACUCCAAGGCAUGUUCUAGAAUCUCUGAAGGCCCCCGGUGUUGCUGAAUCCAGUGCCCUCAGCAGUCACCCCCUCAUGAAUGCACGUCUGUUGCCCCUGUCCCUUCCUUGCCUCACUUCCCCACUUCCCUACCAGUGCUUCCUGGGGCCAUGCCCAAUCCUUGCCUCAGGCUCUGCUUCUGGGGAACCCAAGUUCAGACACAUAUCUUAUGAUUGAAGGGAUGUUGGGACAGUUCUGUCUUCCCUACAAUAUCUGCUGUCAUAGGCCUAUCUCUUACUACUGAAUUACGUCACUAGAGAUUCAUGCCUGUGGGAUUUCAAGAUCGGGGUCUGGUCAUUUGCUCCGGCAAUCCCCCUUCUGGGUACACCCAAAAGAAAUGAAAGCAGGGUCUCAAAGAGAUUUUCGCACCGCCCACGUUCGUAGCGGCGUUAUUCGCAAUAGCCAAAAGGUAGAAGAAACCAGCAUCCAUUGACAGAUGAGUGGAUAAGCAACAUGUGGCCUUCCCAUGCAACGGAAUAUCAUUUAGCCUUAAAGAGGAAGGGA
Molecule: long non-coding RNA, 2380 nt
Organism: Leopardus geoffroyi (Geoffroy's cat)
Lineage: Eukaryota; Metazoa; Chordata; Mammalia; Carnivora; Felidae
Exons: 3
Source: RefSeq, a predicted model, not a curated record